GCUGGGUGUGGUGGCGCACAUCUGUAAUCCCAGCUACCUGGGAGGCUGAGGAAGGAGAAUCACUUGAACCCAGGAGGCAGAGGGUACAGUGAGCCAAGAUCGUGCCACUGCACUCCAGCCUGGGUGACAGAGUGAGACUCCGUCUCAA
Molecule: non-coding RNA, 148 nt
Filed under: Nomascus leucogenys (northern white-cheeked gibbon)
Lineage: Eukaryota; Metazoa; Chordata; Mammalia; Primates; Hylobatidae
Source: Rfam by way of RNAcentral